Molecule: transfer RNA, 58 nt
Filed under: Dipodomys ordii (Ord's kangaroo rat)
Lineage: Eukaryota; Metazoa; Chordata; Mammalia; Rodentia; Heteromyidae
Rfam family: tRNA
About the family: Transfer RNA (tRNA) molecules are approximately 80 nucleotides in length. Their secondary structure includes four short double-helical elements and three loops (D, anti-codon, and T loops).
Source: Rfam by way of RNAcentral
UGGCUCAGUGGUAGAGCGCUUGCCUUUCAUGCAUGAGGCCCUGGGGUUCGAUUCCUCA